RNAcentral lists this ribosomal RNA (510 nucleotides) under uncultured Acaulospora. Its description in RNAcentral is "SSU rRNA". It matches the Rfam family "Eukaryotic small subunit ribosomal RNA", at positions 569 to 1078 of the family's 1831-position model. The record is from RNAcentral. Lineage: Eukaryota; Fungi; Glomeromycota; Glomeromycetes; Diversisporales; Acaulosporaceae.
AGCAGCCGCGGUAAUUCCAGCUCCAAUAGCGUAUAUUAAAGUUGUUGCAGUUAAAAAGCUCGUAGUUGAAUUUCGGAAUUUAUCGGUUGGUCGGGCUUCACUGUCCGCACUGGCCUGAUGGAUUCCUACCUUCUGAAUAACCAGCAUGCUAUUAAUUUAGUGCGUUGGGGAAGCAGAGCUAUUACCUUGAAAAAAUUAGAGUGCUUAAAGCAGGCUUACGCUUGAAUAGAUUAGCAUGGAAUAAUAAAAUAGGACGGCUUGGUUCUAUUUUGUUGGUUUCUAGGAUCACCGUAAUGAUUAAUAGGGAUAGUUGGGGGCAUUAGUAUUCAAUUGUCAGAGGUGAAAUUCUUGGAUUUAUUGAAGACUAACUUCUGCGAAAGCAUUCGCCAAGGAUGUUUUCAUUAAUCAAGAACGAAAGUUAGGGGAUCGAAGACGAUCAGAUACCGUCGUAGUCUUAACCAUAAACUAUGCCGACUAGGGAUCGGACGAUGUUAAUUUUUUAAUGACUCG